Molecule: ribosomal RNA, 839 nt
Filed under: Pedobacter sp.
Lineage: Bacteria; Pseudomonadati; Bacteroidota; Sphingobacteriia; Sphingobacteriales; Sphingobacteriaceae
Description: bacterial SSU rRNA
Rfam family: Bacterial small subunit ribosomal RNA
Source: RNAcentral
UGGGUUUAAGGGUGCGUAGGCGGCCUGUUAAGUCAGGGGUGAAAGACGGUAGCUCAACUAUCGCAGUGCCCUUGAUACUGAUGGGCUUGAAUGGACUAGAGGUAGGCGGAAUGAGACAAGUAGCGGUGAAAUGCAUAGAUAUGUCUCAGAACACCGAUUGCGAAGGCAGCUUACUAUGGUCUUAUUGACGCUGAGGCACGAAAGCGUGGGGAUCAAACAGGAUUAGAUACCCUGGUAGUCCACGCCCUAAACGAUGAACACUCGCUGUUGGCGAUACACAGUCAGCGGCUAAGCGAAAGCGUUAAGUGUUCCACCUGGGGAGUACGCCCGCAAGGGUGAAACUCAAAGGAAUUGACGGGGGCCCGCACAAGCGGAGGAGCAUGUGGUUUAAUUCGAUGAUACGCGAGGAACCUUACCCGGGCUUGAAAGUUAGUGAAUGAUCCAGAGAUGGAUCAGUGAGCAAUCACACGAAACUAGGUGCUGCAUGGCUGUCGUCAGCUCGUGCCGUGAGGUGUUGGGUUAAGUCCCGCAACGAGCGCAACCCCUAUGUUUAGUUGCCAGCACGUCAUGGUGGGGACUCUAAACAGACUGCCUGUGCAAACAGAGAGGAAGGAGGGGACGACGUCAAGUCAUCAUGGCCCUUACGUCCGGGGCUACACACGUGCUACAAUGGAUGGUACAGAGGGCAGCUACAUAGCAAUAUGAUGCGAAUCUCACAAAGCCGUUCACAGUUCGGAUUGGGGUCUGCAACUCGACCCCAUGAAGUUGGAUUCGCUAGUAAUCGCGUAUCAGCAAUGACGCGGUGAAUACGUUCCCGGGCCUUGUACACACCGCCCGUC